Molecule: ribosomal RNA, 890 nt
Filed under: Staphylococcus aureus
Lineage: Bacteria; Bacillati; Bacillota; Bacilli; Caryophanales; Staphylococcaceae
Description: partial 23S ribosomal RNA
Rfam family: Bacterial large subunit ribosomal RNA
Source: RNAcentral
CUCUAUACGGAGUUACAAAGGACGACAUUAGACGAAUCAUCUGGAAAGAUGAAUCAAAGAAGGUAAUAAUCCUGUAGUCGAAAAUGUUGUCUCUCUUGAGUGGAUCCUGAGUACGACGGAGCACGUGAAAUUCCGUCGGAAUCUGGGAGGACCAUCUCCUAAGGCUAAAUACUCUCUAGUGACCGAUAGUGAACCAGUACCGUGAGGGAAAGGUGAAAAGCACCCCGGAAGGGGAGUGAAAUAGAACCUGAAACCGUGUGCUUACAAGUAGUCAGAGCCCGUUAAUGGGUGAUGGCGUGCCUUUUGUAGAAUGAACCGGCGAGUUACGAUUUGAUGCAAGGUUAAGCAGUAAAUGUGGAGCCGUAGCGAAAGCGAGUCUGAAUAGGGCGUUUAGUAUUUGGUCGUAGACCCGAAACCAGGUGAUCUACCCUUGGUCAGGUUGAAGUUCAGGUAACACUGAAUGGAGGACCGAACCGACUUACGUUGAAAAGUGAGCGGAUGAACUGAGGGUAGCGGAGAAAUUCCAAUCGAACCUGGAGAUAGCUGGUUCUCUCCGAAAUAGCUUUAGGGCUAGCCUCAAGUGAUGAUUAUUGGAGGUAGAGCACUGUUUGGACGAGGGGCCCCUCUCGGGUUACCGAAUUCAGACAAACUCCGAAUGCCAAUUAAUUUAACUUGGGAGUCAGAACAUGGGUGAUAAGGUCCGUGUUCGAAAGGGAAACAGCCCAGACCACCAGCUAAGGUCCCAAAAUAUAUGUUAAGUGGAAAAGGAUGUGGCGUUGCCCAGACAACUAGGAUGUUGGCUUAGAAGCAGCCAUCAUUUAAAGAGUGCGUAAUAGCUCACUAGUCGAGUGACACUGCGCCGAAAAUGUACCGGGGCUAAACAUAUUACC